ACCUGCCCACUGAAAAUUUUAAAUGGCUGCAGUAAUUUGACUGUACAAAGGUAGCAUAAUCAUUAGUUUUUUAAUUAAAAGCUUGUAUGAAAGGUUGGACGAAGUAAAAUCUGUCUCUUUUUAAUAUAAUUAGAAUUUAAUUUUUAAGUAAAAAAGCUUAAAUUUUUAUAAAAGACGAGAAGACCCUAUAGAGUUUAAUAAUUUUAAUAAAAUAUUUAAUCAAGAUUUAUUAAUUUUAUUUAAUUAAAAUUAUUUUAUUGGGGUAAUAAAAAGAUUAAAAAAAUUCUUUUUUUUUAAUACAUUAAUUUAUGAAUAUAUGAUCCAUUUGUAGUGAUUAAAAGAUUAAAUUACCUUAGGGAUAACAGCGUAAUUUUUUUAAAGAGUUCUUAUCGAUAAAAAAGUUUGCGACCUCGAUGUUGGAUUAAAGAUUAAUUUAGGUGUAGAAGUUUAAAUUUUUGGUCUGUUCGACCAUUAAAUCUUUACAUGAUCUGAGUUCAAACCGGUGUAAGCCAGGUUGGUUUCUAUCUUUAUUAAUUUUUUAUAUUUUAGUACGAAAGGACCAAAUAUAAAAUAUAUAAAUAUUUUUAUUUUGAAUAUUAUUAAAUUAGUUAUUUUGGCAGAUUAGUGUAAUGAAUUUAGAAUUCAUUUAUGUAAAUAUUUUACAAAUAAUACUUGUUUAUAAAAGAUAUAAUUAUUUCUUUUAUUUUAAUUAUUUUAUUAAUUAUUUGUGUUUUAGUAGGUGUAGCUUUUUUAACUUUAU
This 760-nucleotide ribosomal RNA is filed under the name Trechisibus antarcticus. Its description in RNAcentral is "partial 16S ribosomal RNA". The stretch from base 1 to 552 matches the Rfam family "Bacterial large subunit ribosomal RNA", at positions 1857 to 2925 of the family's 2925-position model. Lineage: Eukaryota; Metazoa; Arthropoda; Insecta; Coleoptera; Carabidae. The record is from RNAcentral.